GAUGAACGCUGGCGGCGUGCCUAAUACAUGCAAGUCGAGCGAAUGGAUUAAGAGCUUGCUCUUAUGAAGUUAGCGGCGGACGGGUGAGUAACACGUGGGUAACCUGCCCAUAAGACUGGGAUAACUCCGGGAAACCGGGGCUAAUACCGGAUAACAUUUUGAACCGCAUGGUUCGAAAUUGAAAGGCGGCUUCGGCUGUCACUUAUGGAUGGACCCGCGUCGCAUUAGCUAGUUGGUGAGGUAACGGCUCACCAAGGCAACGAUGCGUAGCCGACCUGGGAGGGUGAUCGGCCACACUGGGACUGAGACACGGCGCAGACUCCUACGGGAGGCAGCAGUAGGGAAUCGUCCGCAAUGGGCGAAAGUCUGACGGAGCAACGCCGCGUGAGUGAUGAAGGCUUUCGGGUCGUAAAACUCUGUUGUUAGGGAAGAACAAGUGCUAGUUGAAUAAGCUGACACCUUGACGGUACCUAACCAGAAAGCCACGGCUAACUACGUGCCAGCCGCCGCCGUAA
This 515-nucleotide ribosomal RNA is filed under the name uncultured bacterium. RNAcentral describes it as "partial 16S ribosomal RNA". It matches the Rfam family "Bacterial small subunit ribosomal RNA", at positions 28 to 523 of the family's 1533-position model. The record is from RNAcentral.